Molecule: long non-coding RNA, 1381 nt
Filed under: Gossypium barbadense (sea-island cotton)
Lineage: Eukaryota; Viridiplantae; Streptophyta; Magnoliopsida; Malvales; Malvaceae
Description: long non-coding RNA (GBAR_LNC012308)
Source: RNAcentral
UGGCCCAUAGAAGGCUGACUCGUGGUCUGAAACACAGAACGGGUAGUGGGCUGGAGGGCACGUGCCUGCCCUUUAAAAGAACUAUCCACCGACACACCUGAAUUGACUCUCUUCGAAACAUUAGCAACAGAUUUCCUGCCCGUUGGUGUCAUAAUUAGAGAAGCAUUUAAGGGAGCUUUCCCUUUAUUCUUCAGAUUUGAUUGUGGUUCCUUAAUUAUUUCUUCUACCGAAGGCACCUCCUCCAAAUCUGCAAGAGAUUGGAACCGUGAUCCCAGAUUUUUCUCUCCUUUCAAAUUAUUGCCUUUUUUAGAACCCUCCAGAUUGCCGCGCUUGGACUUUCUCUCCACCAGCAUCCAAGGCCCGUAAGCUUCUUCUCCGGCCACCACAUUAGUACUCGAAUCAUGGCCCGACGACUCACCCUUCUCAUUUUCCCCUGAUCUUUGUGUGAUCAUUGAACAGGAUUCUUUAGUGUGACCAUAACAACCACAAUUAAAACAUACCACAGGUAAGUUUUCAUACUCAAUCCUCUGAGGGUUACCAUUAAUAAAGAUUUUAGAGACUAACGGCCGUCCCCGAUUGACAAGCACUGCCAUACGAGCAUAACGACCCCUUGCUCUACUAUCCGUGUUCGUAUCCAAUUUGGUGACUUUCCCUAUCAAGCCUCCUAUCUCUAUAAGUAUCUGUUUUUUAUAAAAAUGACUAGGUAACCCAGGAAAGCGAAUCCAAGUAAGGACCUAAUUUGGGUAGGGCAAAUUGGGAUUGAAAUCAAUCGUCUAAGGCUGGACCGUAAGAUAAUGACCGAAAAUAACCCACGGUCCCUGAGAAAGAAUUUUGUUGUAAUCUGCAGUAGUCUCAAAUUUUGCAAGAUAGUAGCCAUUUUCUAUAUCCAUUAAUUGAAAAGGCUUAGCCGGCUUCCAUAUUCCAUAUAAUCUAUUUUGCAGGGUCGUAAUUCCAAGGUUCCUUCCCAGCAUCUUAAGAACCACCGAGGUUGACAUUUCCUUUUCCAGAAGUUGAUAGACUCUCUCCGAGAAAUCAAUUGAGGGAACUCCAUCAAUACAAUAUUUCUUGACAUCCUGCUUUGUAAGGGCGAAACUAUCUGCAGAGCACUGGUCCUCAGACGUGUUAUUUAGAUCUAAAGUUUCCUUCCCCACUAACAUAUCCUUCCAAGACAACGAAGGCUCUGGUAGUGGAUCUACCACCAUAACAUCAUCAGAAGACACAUCCGAUUCCUUAAAUCUGACCUUCUUAGUAUUAGAAUCAUCAAGGAAAGGGAUAUCCUCUCUGAUCUUGUUUGCACUUUCAACCACAGAAGACGAGAGCAUUCUUACCAAAAAAAAAAAAACUUUUAAUUGAUACAAAUACUUAAAUCAUAUAUAUUUUA